This 522-nucleotide long non-coding RNA is filed under the name Rattus norvegicus (Norway rat). RNAcentral describes it as "long non-coding RNA NONRATT018160". The record is from RNAcentral. Lineage: Eukaryota; Metazoa; Chordata; Mammalia; Rodentia; Muridae.
CAGCUAGAAAGAUGUAGGCUUGGAGCAGAAUCGCCCAGCAUCGCCAGCACCAGCUCAACUGAAAAGUCAUUUCCUUGGAGAUCAACAGCACCCACAGGUUCUUGUAUCUGAGGAUCAUUCCCCACUUGGAUGCUGGACACAAGUGACCCCUGUAUAGAAGUAGAGAUCAGACUUCCUGCUUUAGCUCUAUGACUUAUUGUUGCUGGACCUGGUUCACCACCAAAUAAGAACUAGACUAUUGCUUCAAUGGACAUACAGCUGCAGCUGGCUUUUUCUGAGCCACUUCUGUGUCAAGUACCUAGAGGGCUGCGGAAGACCGGAAGACCGUCAGCUCCCUGGAGCUGGAUUCGCAGGUGCUAGUGAGCCUCCUGAUGGGGCAGGAACCCAGAAAGGGACCUCAGCAAGAACAGCCAGUCCUCAUAACAGCAGAGCCAUCUCUCCAGACUCUUGAUAUUCUUAUCUUGGUAUUUGAUAGCAUGUUCCCCUACAAGAAAUAAAAUAUGUCUGCAAAAAAAAAAACCU